ACCCAUAAAAGAAUGUGGGAGAAUGAAGUGUAAGGACCUAGGAAGGAAGUUCAUACUCAUAAAAGAGAAAUCUGCAGUCUGGAGCUCAAGGACGUGAAGCAAUCUUUAAUGUGCUUCAGGGAAUAGAGGAAUUUGGCUGGAGUAUGUGGAAUGUUUACACACUGCUGGUUCGAGUGAAGGUGAUUCUCCUGGCAGAAGGAGGCUGGGAGAAGGAGGUGGCAGUCCAGUGGGUGUCCUUCCUGAGGUGGUUCCAGUCAGAUGGCCAACAUGGUAAAAAGAGCUGAUGCUGUGGAAAGGAAGAUCGGACAGAGGAUGCAGCUAAGAGUCAUCAAAGUCCAGUGGCAAGACAAAAAUGAAGAUGACAGAUGAUGGCCUGGAGUGCACUGGGUGACGUUGGCAUCUUCGACAUCUGACUAAGCUCUAAGUGCCCCAUAGUGCCUGCUUCUACUGCUUUUAUAUCCUGUUGGAAGAAAUUGUUCACAUCCACCCAUUCUGCUGGAGAAGUCUUCACAUGUUUGCGGUAGAUAGCCCCCUAACUCACCAACAGGUUGACAUUUAUGUAGCAUUUACUAUAUUCCAGUCACUGGGAGAAGAACUUUACAAUUAUCUCAUCUGAUCCUCACAACAACCCUUUAUUAUUAUCUCC
Phascolarctos cinereus (koala) is the source of this 646-nucleotide non-coding RNA. The record is from RefSeq and is a predicted model, not a curated record. NCBI's taxonomy places the organism in Eukaryota, Metazoa, Chordata, Mammalia, Diprotodontia, Phascolarctidae.